This 250-nucleotide ribosomal RNA is filed under the name uncultured bacterium. RNAcentral's name for it is "partial 16S ribosomal RNA". It matches the Rfam family "Bacterial small subunit ribosomal RNA", at positions 335 to 603 of the family's 1533-position model. The record is from RNAcentral.
AUCCUACGGGGGGCAGCAGUGGGGAAUAUUGCACAAUGGGGGAAACCCUGAUGCAGCGACGCCGCGUGAGUGAAGAAGUAUCUCGGUAUGUAAAGCUCUAUCAGCAGGAAAGAUAAUGACGGUACCUGACUAAGAAGCCCCGGCUAACUACGUGCCAGCAGCCGCGGUAAUACGUAGGGGGCAAGCGUUAUCCGGAUUUACUGGGUGUAAAGGGAGCGUAGACGGCAGCGCAAGUCUGGAGUGAAAUGCC